GGGCCCGCACAAGCGGUGGAGCAUGUGGUUUAAUUCGAUGAUACGCGAGGAACCUUACCAGGGCUUAAAUGUAACGGGACAGAUCUAGAGAUAGAUCCUUCUUCGGACUCAUUACAAGGUGCUGCAUGGUUGUCGUCAGCUCGUGCCGUGAGGUGUCAGGUUAAGUCCUAUAACGAGCGCAACCCCCAUCGUUAGUUGCCAACGAGUAAUGUCGGGAACUCUAACGAAACUGCCGGUGCAAACCGUGAGGAAGGUGGGGAUGACGUCAAAUCAUCACGGCCCUUACGUCCUGGGCUACACACGUGCUACAAUGGUCGGUACAGAGAGCAGCCACUACGCGAGUAGGAGCAAAUCUUCAAAGCCGAUCUCAGUUCGGAUCGGAGUCUGCAACUCGACUCCGUGAAGUCGGAAUUGCUAGUAAUCGCGAAU
RNAcentral lists this ribosomal RNA (429 nucleotides) under uncultured bacterium. RNAcentral describes it as "bacterial SSU rRNA". It matches the Rfam family "Bacterial small subunit ribosomal RNA", at positions 917 to 1349 of the family's 1533-position model. The record is from RNAcentral.